CAUUUUUCUUUCUUUACCCUCUUCUUCAUCUUUCUCAUUCUUCCUCUUCCUUUCCGAAUCCUCACAUCUCUCUCAAAUAAAAUUAUGUAGAAAAAUUCAAAUAAAUAAACCCAACAACUAUUGGAUGCUUCACAGCUUUAAGAUGUUGCACCAGUUCCCCAUGUAAAACACAUUCAAUCUCUCUCACAUCAAAUGGCGGUUCCGAUCGAAGAAGCCACAGCUGCACUAUCCAUAUUUUCUCUAGAGAUAACAAACUCUAUUAACACUGUUUUGAAAAUUCAAUUGUUUUUAGUGAGCAUGUUUUCCUAAUUGAUGAAUUUCUUCCUUUGUCGUUAUAAUUUCAGGAUGAUCAAGCAGAGGUACAAGGCUCGAGGUUUGGGGUUUCAGCUAAAAGAGGUGCAACUAUUAGUCCAAUCGAACACACUUACUCAAGAGGGGAAGGAAAUGGGUUAUGUGCUCUACACAUAUAGAAGUUGAGUUAAAGCGCUUCGUCAGCUUACAUUACAGAUGUUGCACCAGUUCCCAUAUGUUGACACAUACAGCAUUUCUGUGAACGAGCCCUCCAACAUUGUGUCUCCCCCUCCCUCGUUUGGCAUUUGGGUUCGUUGAGAUGGAGAGUUCAUGGGAGUUGGAUCCGGGAUCCAUAUAACUUGCCCCUGAAUUACUAGCAUUGGUUGUCAGGGGAAGAACAGUGGAGUAGAGUUUAUUAUGUCCAUUGGGUGAAGAAGGGAAUCUGCACCAUACUUUCCAUGUUUGGAAAACAGCUUAGAUGAUGGGGUAAAUUCCGAAGUGCUUGCAUGGUGCUGAAGAACUCCAGAGUUGCGGCUGGCGUAAGGGGAUCCAUUGCAUUGGUCACCCACAUCUGGUUUACAAAGUUCUCCAUGGCUAACUUCAUUCCCUCCGUGACUAACUGCGCCAGAAAGUUUGAGUUUUGCAGAAUUAUUAUCGUCUUUACUCCAUUGAUGUCCAUGGAGAAGAGAGCUGCAUGGACUGGGAUAGCUGUCUCCACCCAUGACUGGGAAUGAUGGAGAGGGUGAACUGGUUGAGUGGAGAAUACAAGGGGAGCUUAGAGGGUCUCUGGGGUAUUGGGGAGUAAGUAAGGAUUGCUCAUCGCAGAGAAUGGGUUUCUCGAUGAGCGAGAGAUGGGAAGGAGACGAACUUUCUGAUGAAUAGGAAUUGGAGCUCUGAACAUUCUUAAUAAGAUUUAUUUUGAUAUUAGAGUUAAGAGAGUUGGGAAAUGAUUGAGUAUCAACAAUGGAAGAUAUAAUAGGCGGGGGAUUGGUCAUCAUUGGCGUAUCGAUAGCACAGGAAAAUUUUGGAAAAUUUGUAACGUUAUUAUCUAUAUCCACUUGUUCAAUUAUCUUAGCCAAGUGUAUAACCUGAGUAGGGGUACCCUUAGUAUUUAUGUCAACCCUACUAGUAUUAGGGGUAAAUUUUUCUAAUUGAGAAGUCGACACGUCGUUGCCUCUUGUAGGAUGAAUUGAAGAGUUUUGACUAGAGCAUGUCGCCUCAGAAGCUAGAGAGUCGGGAUCAUUAGUAGGGGGUAAAGUAAUUGAAUCUUUUUCUAAAUUCAUUACUAAUAUUUUCUUCCUCCAUAUUUUUCAAGAUGUCGAAUUUGUUUAUCGAGGAACUGUCAAAAUUUUGCUUAUCAAUCCUUAGAAGAGUCUGAGAGUAGUUCUGAAUAACUGGGGAGUUUCUAAAAUUAUCAGAAUUUUGCAAAACAACAGUAGUAGCAAAUUGUUUAGGACUGGGGGAGCAUUGAUCAGAGGAAAACAUGGUUUUGGGGACAAAAAUUUGGGAAUUAAAGAAUUUACCUGUUCCUUUAUACAUAAAUUUGACGUUUUUACCUGGGCUGCUUAUAUUAGCAGGGUCGAUUGCAUUCUUUGUAAGAUUUUGUGUUUGACGCUUUUUGCGAGGGAACUUUACUGUAAGCCAUUGACUUGACAUGGUGUCCUUCAGUGUACAAUGUUGUUUUGGACUUGUUUGAUAUACCAGUCACCAAAUGUUUCCCACUCUGUUCCUUUUUAUCGAAACUUAAUGAUGAGCUCUAGAGACAUAUAGGGAUAGUAUGUCCCAGUCUCCCACGGUUCUUGCAUAGGAAACCUUCUCCUUCUUAGGCAAUAUCCUGUUUAUGCCCUCCUACUUGAAUGGUUGUAGUGAUCGGUUCUUCCAUGGGAAUCUGUACACAUAGUCUUGCGUAUCUCCCACGCAGAGUAGCACUUGUACAGACAUCUAUUUUCACUAAUGUACCGAUAGAGUUGCCAAUACGCCUUAAUAGUAUACCAUCAUAAAACUCUGUAGGAAGUUGUGGUAGACGCACCCAAACAGCGGUGUAAGUUAAUUUGGAUUUUUCUGGGUUGAAAUUAGGAUCCCAUCUUUGAAUUGAUAAGAAAUGACCAUUAAUGAACCACGGGCCAUUUUGCAGGACAUAAGAGCGUUAUCCUCGUCUGCGAGUUUUACCGUGAAAAAAUCUGACUGGAAAUUUUUCGGGUAGCCGCCAGAGAGCUUGGAUUUUCUGGUUUAAGUAUUGGUGGGCGAUUCUUUUACCGAUAAGUUUAAUUAUGACAGAAUUUUUCCACGGGGCCCAGAGCCUUUCACUUUCAUCCUGGGAAAGAGUAAUUGUUUUUAUAUUGCUAGAGAGUUUAUUCUCUGACGUGACUUCCUUAGGUACAUUUAAGGAAUUCAAAUAACUUGUAUUGUUGUAGUCAUACAUUUCUACGUCAGAGAUGUAUUAUCCUGCUAAUAAUUUUUCUUUAAAACUAUCUUUUGAGGAAGUAAAAACACAUU
Molecule: RNA transcript, 2787 nt
Organism: Solanum pennellii
Lineage: Eukaryota; Viridiplantae; Streptophyta; Magnoliopsida; Solanales; Solanaceae
Exons: 5
Source: RefSeq, a predicted model, not a curated record